RNAcentral lists this ribosomal RNA (255 nucleotides) under uncultured bacterium. RNAcentral's name for it is "partial 16S ribosomal RNA". It matches the Rfam family "Bacterial small subunit ribosomal RNA", at positions 524 to 776 of the family's 1533-position model. The record is from RNAcentral.
UACGUAGGGUGCAAGCGUUGUCCGGAAUUAUUGGGCGUAAAGAGCUCGUAGGCGGUCUGUUGCGUCGGCUGUGAAAACCCGGGGCUCAACUCCGGGCCUGCAGCCGAUACGGGCAGACUAGAGUUCGGCAGGGGAGACUGGAAUUCCUGGUGUAGCGGUGAAAUGCGCAGAUAUCAGGAGGAACACCGGUGGCGAAGGCGGGGUCUCUGGGGCCGAUACUGACGCUGAGGAGCGAAAGCGUGGGGAGCGAACAGG